AACGAACGCUGGCGGCAUGCCUAACACAUGCAAGUCGAACGAAGGCUUCGUCCUUAGUGGCGCACGGGUGCGUAACGCGUGGGAAUCUGCCCUUUGGUUCGGAAUAAUAGCUGGUAACGGCUGCUAAUACCGGAUGAUGACGAAAGUCCAAAGAUUUAUCGCCAGAGGAUGAGCCCGCGUUGGUUUAGGCGGUUGGUGGGGUAAAGGCCUACCAAGCCGUCGAUCCAUAGCUGGUCUGAGAGGAUGACCAGCCACGCUGGAGCUGAGACACGGCCCAGACUCCUACGGAGGGCAGCAGUGGGGAAUAUUGGACGAUGGGCGCAAGCCUGAUACAGCAAUGCGGGGUGAGUGAUGAAGGCCCUAGGGUUGUGAAGCUGUUUUACACGGGGAGAUAAUGACUGUACCGGGAGAAUAAGCCCCGGCUAACUCCGUG
Molecule: ribosomal RNA, 433 nt
Filed under: uncultured bacterium
Lineage: Bacteria
Description: partial 16S ribosomal RNA
Rfam family: Bacterial small subunit ribosomal RNA
Source: RNAcentral